RNAcentral lists this ribosomal RNA (404 nucleotides) under uncultured Novosphingobium sp. RNAcentral describes it as "bacterial SSU rRNA". It matches the Rfam family "Bacterial small subunit ribosomal RNA", at positions 356 to 777 of the family's 1533-position model. Lineage: Bacteria; Pseudomonadati; Pseudomonadota; Alphaproteobacteria; Sphingomonadales; Sphingomonadaceae. The record is from RNAcentral.
GGGGAAUAUUGGACAAUGGGCGAAAGCCUGAUCCAGCAAUGCCGCGUGAGUGAUGAAGGCCUUCGGGUCGUAAAGCUCUUUUACCAGGGAUGAUAAUGACAGUACCUGGAGAAUAAGCUCCGGCUAACUCCGUGCCAGCAGCCGCGGUAAUACGGAGGGAGCUAGCGUUGUUCGGAAUUACUGGGCGUAAAGAGUACGUAGGCGGCUAUUCAAGUCAGAGGUGAAAGCCCGGGGCUCAACCCCGGAACUGCCUUUGAAACUAGGUAGCUAGAAUCUUGGAGAGGUCAGUGGAAUUCCGAGUGUAGAGGUGAAAUUCGUAGAUAUUCGGAAGAACACCAGUGGCGAAGGCGACUGACUGGACAAGUAUUGACGCUGAGGUACGAAAGCGUGGGGAGCAAACAGGA